RNAcentral lists this ribosomal RNA (466 nucleotides) under uncultured bacterium. Its description in RNAcentral is "partial 16S ribosomal RNA". It matches the Rfam family "Bacterial small subunit ribosomal RNA", at positions 29 to 507 of the family's 1533-position model. The record is from RNAcentral.
AUGAACGCUGCCAGAAUGCUUAACACAUGCAAGUCAACUUGAAUUUGGGUUUUUAACUUCGGUUUGGGUGGCGGACGGGUGAGUAACGCGUAAAGAACUUGCCUCACAGCUAGGGACAACAUUUGGAAACGAAUGCUAAUACCUAAUAUUAUGAUAAUAGGGCAUCCUAUAAUUAUGAAAGCUAUAAGCGCUGUGAGAGAGCUUUGCGUCCCAUUAGCUAGUUGGAGAGGUAACGGCUCACCAAGGCGAUGAUGGGUAGCCGGCCUGAGAGGGUGAUCGGCCACAAGGGGACUGAGACACGGCCCUUACUCCUACGGGAGGCAGCAGUGGGGAAUAUUGGACAAUGGACCAAGAGUCUGAUCCAGCAAUUCUGUGUGCACGAUGAAGUUUUUCGGAAUGUAAAGUGCUUUCAGUUGGGAAGAAAGAAAUGACGGUACCAACAGAAGAAGUGACGGCUAAAUACGUG